CCUACGGGCGGCUGCAGUAAGGAAUAUUGGUCAAUGGGCGCAAGCCUGAACCAGCCAUGCCGCGUGAAGGAUGACGGCCCUAUGGGUUGUAAACUUCUUUUGUACGGGAAAAAACCUCUGGUCGUGAAUCAGAGCUGAUGGUACCGUAAGAAUAAGCAUCGGCUAACUCCGUGCCAGCAGCCGCGGUAAUACGGAGGAUGCAAGCGUUAUCCGGAUUCAGGGGGUUUAAAGGGUAUGAUGGGGGAGUGAUGAAAGCCUACAGCUUAACUGUAGAACUGCCAUUGAUACUGUUAUUGUUGAGUGUUGUUGAGGUAGGCGGAAUGUGUCAUGUAGCGGUGAAAUGCUUAGAUAUGACACAGAACACCGAUCGCGAAGGCAGCUUACCAAGCAACAACUGACGCUCAUGCACGAAAGCGUGGGGAUCAAACAGGAUUAGAUACCCGGGUGGUC
This 450-nucleotide ribosomal RNA is filed under the name uncultured bacterium. Its description in RNAcentral is "partial 16S ribosomal RNA". It matches the Rfam family "Bacterial small subunit ribosomal RNA", at positions 338 to 795 of the family's 1533-position model. The record is from RNAcentral.